This 72-nucleotide transfer RNA is filed under the name Candidatus Kaiserbacteria bacterium RIFCSPHIGHO2_01_FULL_53_29. Its description in RNAcentral is "tRNA-Arg". It matches the Rfam family "tRNA". Rfam says of the family: Transfer RNA (tRNA) molecules are approximately 80 nucleotides in length. Their secondary structure includes four short double-helical elements and three loops (D, anti-codon, and T loops). Lineage: Bacteria; Candidatus Kaiseribacteriota. RNAcentral also lists the same sequence under 2 other names. The record is from RNAcentral.
GCUCUCGUAGUUCAACGGAUAGAACGCGAGCUUGCGGAGCUCGUAAUCUGGGUUCGAUUCCCGGCGAGGGCA